RNAcentral lists this ribosomal RNA (632 nucleotides) under Bacillus sp. (in: firmicutes). RNAcentral's name for it is "bacterial SSU rRNA". It matches the Rfam family "Bacterial small subunit ribosomal RNA", at positions 60 to 675 of the family's 1533-position model. Lineage: Bacteria; Bacillati; Bacillota; Bacilli; Caryophanales; Bacillaceae. The record is from RNAcentral.
AGUCGAGCGAAUCUUGAGGUGCUUGCACCUCUUGGUUAGCGGCGGACGGGUGAGUAACACGUGGGCAACCUGCCUGUAAGACUGGGAUAACUUCGGGAAACCGGAGCUAAUACCGGAUAAUCCUUUUCCUCUCAUGAGGAAAAGCUGAAAGUCGGUUUACGCUGACACUUACAGAUGGGCCCGCGGCGCAUUAGCUAGUUGGUGAGGUAACGGCUCACCAAGGCGACGAUGCGUAGCCGACCUGAGAGGGUGAUCGGCCACACUGGGACUGAGACACGGCCCAGACUCCUACGGGAGGCAGCAGUAGGGAAUCUUCCGCAAUGGACGAAAGUCUGACGGAGCAACGCCGCGUGAGCGAUGAAGGCCUUCGGGUCGUAAAGCUCUGUUGUUAGGGAAGAACAAGUACCGGAGUAACUGCCGGUACCUUGACGGUACCUAACCAGAAAGCCACGGCUAACUACGUGCCAGCAGCCGCGGUAAUACGUAGGUGGCAAGCGUUGUCCGGAAUUAUUGGGCGUAAAGCGCGCGCAGGCGGUCCUUUAAGUCUGAUGUGAAAGCCCACGGCUCAACCGUGGAGGGUCAUUGGAAACUGGGGGACUUGAGUACAGAAGAGGAAAGCGGAAUUCCACGUG